This 253-nucleotide ribosomal RNA is filed under the name uncultured bacterium. RNAcentral describes it as "partial 16S ribosomal RNA". It matches the Rfam family "Bacterial small subunit ribosomal RNA", at positions 524 to 776 of the family's 1533-position model. The record is from RNAcentral.
UACGUAGGGCGCAAGCGUUGUCCGGAAUUAUUGGGCGUAAAGAGCUCGUAGGCGGUUUGUCGCGUCUGCUGUGAAAACCUAAGGCUCAACCUUGGGCUUGCAGUGGGUACGGGCAGACUAGAGUGCGGUAGGGGUGACUGGAAUUCCUGGUGUAGCGGUGGAAUGCGCAGAUAUCAGGAGGAACACCGGUGGCGAAGGCGGGUCUCUGGGCUGACACUGACGCUCAUGCACGAAAGCGUGGGGAGCAAACAGG